This 253-nucleotide ribosomal RNA is filed under the name uncultured bacterium. RNAcentral's name for it is "partial 16S ribosomal RNA". It matches the Rfam family "Bacterial small subunit ribosomal RNA", at positions 524 to 776 of the family's 1533-position model. The record is from RNAcentral.
UACGAAGGGGGCUAGCGUUGCUCGGAAUCACUGGGCGUAAAGCGCACGUAGGCGGACUCUUAAGUCAGGGGUGAAAUCCUGGAGCUCAACUCCAGAACUGCCUUUGAUACUGGGAGUCUUGAGUUCGGGAGAGGUGAGUGGAACUGCGAGUGUAGAGGUGAAAUUCGUAGAUAUUCGCAAGAACACCAGUGGCGAAGGCGGCUCACUGGCCCGAUACUGACGCUGAGGCGCGAAAGCUAGGGGAGCAAACAGG